UACAGAGGGUGCAAGCGUUGUUCGGAAUUACUGGGCGUAAAGCGCGUGUAGGUGGCGAUGUAAGUCGGGUGUGAAAUCCCUCGGCUCAACCGAGGAAGUGCACUCGAUACUGUGUCGCUUGAGUGUUGGAGGGGAUGGCGGAAUUCCCGGUGUAGAGGUGAAAUGCGUAGAUAUCGGGAGGAACACCUGUGGCGAAAAGCGGCUCACUGGACCACAACUGACGCUGAGGCGCGAAAGCUAGGGGAGCAAACAGGG
RNAcentral lists this ribosomal RNA (255 nucleotides) under uncultured bacterium. RNAcentral describes it as "partial 16S ribosomal RNA". It matches the Rfam family "Bacterial small subunit ribosomal RNA", at positions 524 to 777 of the family's 1533-position model. The record is from RNAcentral.